RNAcentral lists this ribosomal RNA (483 nucleotides) under uncultured bacterium. Its description in RNAcentral is "bacterial SSU rRNA". It matches the Rfam family "Bacterial small subunit ribosomal RNA", at positions 28 to 524 of the family's 1533-position model. The record is from RNAcentral.
GACGAACGCUGGCGGCGUGCUUAACACAUGCAAGUCGAGCGGUAAGGCCCUUUCGGGGGUACACGAGCGGCGAACGGGUGAGUAACACGUGGGUGACCUGCCCUCAGCUCUGGGAUAAGCCUGGGAAACCGGGUCUAAUACUGGAUAUGACUCCAUGACGCAUGUUGUGGGGUGGAAAGCCUUGUGCGGCUGAGGAUGGGCCCGCGGCCUAUCAGCUUGUUGGUGGGGUGANGGCCUACCAAGGCGACGACGGGUAGCCGGCCUGAGAGGGCGACCGGCCACACUGGGACUGAGACACGGCCCAGACCCCUACGGGAGGCAGCAGUGGGGAAUCUUGCGCAAUGGGCGAAAGCCUGACGCAGCGACGCCGCGUGGGGAGUGAAGGCCCUCGGGUUGUAAACCUCUUUCAGCUCCGACGAAGCGAGAGUGACGGUAGGGAGCAGAAGAAGCACCGGCCAACUACGUGCCAGCAGCCGCGGUAAG